AGUGAACGCUGGCGGUAGGCCUAACACAUGCAAGUCGAACGGCAGCACAGUAAGAGCUUGCUCUUACGGGUGGCGAGUGGCGGACGGGUGAGGAAUACAUCGGAAUCUACUUUUUCGUGGGGGAUAACGUAGGGAAACUUACGCUAAUACCGCAUACGACCUACGGGUGAAAGCAGGGGAUCUUCGGACCUUGCGCGAGGGAAUGAGCCGAUGUCGGAUUAGCUAGUUGGCGGGGCAGAGGCCCACCAAGGCGACGAUCCGUAGCUGGUCUGAGAGGAUGGUCAGCCACACUGGAACUGAGACACGUCCCAGACUCCUACGGUAGGAAGCGGUGGGGAAUAUUGGACGAUGGGCGCAAGCCUGAUCCAGCCAUACCGCGUGAGUGAAGAAGGACUUCGGGUUGUAGAGCCCUUUUGUUGGGAAAGAAGAGCAGCAGGUUAAUCCCCCGCUAUAAUGACGGUACCCAAAGAAUAAGCACCGGCUAACUUCGUG
Molecule: ribosomal RNA, 492 nt
Filed under: uncultured bacterium
Lineage: Bacteria
Description: partial 16S ribosomal RNA
Rfam family: Bacterial small subunit ribosomal RNA
Source: RNAcentral